GUUGCCACCUCAGCAAAAUCACUAAACUCACACUACACUCAUGCGCAUGGGAUAGCAAUGCUUGAGAGACUGAUUUCUCUUUGGACGAACUUGUGCCUCCAGACAACUUCCAGUUCCAGAACCAACGCCGAACAGACCUCCACCACCAACAUCCACCGCCACCAGUUCACCACCACCAGUCCGCCGAGUAUCCGUCGUCCUCCUUGGCCGAUUUCUCCCAAUUUCAGCCCACGAGUUAACUCGCCCACUGCGCAAACGUAGUUCCACGGCCACUGGUCCGUUGCCCACCACAGUUCAACAAUAAAUAAUUGCGGUUAUGUAGUGACUAGUCCAAGAAAACUCACAUAAAAAGCUUAUCACUUUUAUCUUCUACUUCCACAAAUCUCUCCGUAACUAGUGAAUAUAGGAGGAAGAAUCUGAGUCGGGAAGAGCACGAUCUCACUCUCUAGUUUUAGUCGUUUGAGAAAUUUACAACUGUAAAAGAACGAGUUUUGGAGAAGGAAUUUAAAAAAUAGUGCUCAAGGACCAGACUGAGAGUACUACUUGGGAGGGUCAGAGUUCAUAUUUUCUAUAGUAUAAUUAAGGUAAUUAAGGAUAUUCUUUCUUUUAACUUCUGGAUAUACCUAAAGAUUGGAAAAUAUGUUAUUAGUAGUGGAGAAUCAAAGAUGAUUGCUGCUUUAGUUCCGAAUUCAUAAUUCUUGUCUGUGAAUUCGUGGGUUUUGAAUAAUUGUAGAUUUUUUGUUAGUAUAUUUUAGUUUUGGGUGUAAUUGAUUGUUCCCUUGGAUUAGGUGAUUGAUUCAAUUUGGGUUUUCGAGUGCUUUUUGAGGAAUCUAGUUUGGAUACUAUGAAAAUUGAGCAGUAUGUAAUUGGUUUCCUGGUUUUUGUUGCCUUCCUUCCCAAAAAGUUUCCUAAAACAUAUCUAAUUGAUGUGCUAGGCUCACUUGCGGAUUUUUUUUUUUUUCUCGCCAAAGGGCUACAGAUAUAUGAUUUAUGAAAAGGGCCAUGAAAACAUUGAAAAUGAGUUUUGAAUUUUACUUGUCAAAAAAUAAAAGAGAUAGGAUUUAUUAAAUUAUUUUCUUAACUUGUCUGUGUAAAUCAAAAGGGUUUUAUCUGAGGAAUAACUCCAAAAAGAUGGGGAAAACUGAGUAUUGGUGCUAGAGAUAAUUGGGAAGCUUUAAGAAAUUUUCUGAUUUAAGGUGCCACAUUUACUUUGAAUUUGGAUACAGACCAGUUGACUAUGUACCUUAUUGCGAGCUGCAACGGGGAAGUGGCUGCGGGCUGCAAUGGGCAAAGGGGCUGUGUCGCUAAUGGGGGAUGCAAAGGGGAGGGUCCGUCUCAGUGUGAUUUUGCAGGGGAAUGAUUUUCCAUGUGAUGCUGGUUCACACGAAUUGUUGUGGAGACUCUAGGUGUCAGUCAAUAAUUCGCUGGCUGUUAUUUGAGGAUCCUUGGACGGACUGGCCCGUAGGAUUUCUCUUACUUUAAUGGCAACUAAAGUCACUUCAGAAAUAGAUUUCAUAUUCUUUACUAUUAAGUGCAAGACCAUAUUAACUGCAAAGGGUCAUGAAGAAAGAAGAAAUAAGGCCUUAACUAUUAGUUCUUGGGGCUGCUUAACUCUGCUGUAUCGUGGUCUAAGGAGGGGCUUGGAAUGAGCCUUGAAUUUAGACAUCCUGAGUUUGGUUCUGCACUAAGAGUUUCCAUGGAUUAUCUAAUACAAAAUUCUGGUGGAUUUGGUUGCAUAUCUGGAGUUCACUUCCCAAUAGUGAGUCUGAUGGGCCUUGAGGUUCCACGCAUCAAGAAAACUCUGUUGUCUUUUGGUCUCAACAAAAAUAGUUGCUAUCAAUUUGUUAAACCAUUGUGAUUGAAAUUUUUAUGAUCUUCCAACCGUUUCCAUAUGAGAUGUCAAGAUUGUUAGUAGGGCAAAUUCUAUAUACUAGUUUUGGACAGGUUUAUCCUUUGGUUGGUUUGGAAAUAUCAGGUACAUUUUGCAGCCACUAAAGAAGCACUAUCCGUAUAUUUCGCCAAAUGUGGGUCAGUUUUCAACAUGAUGAUUCUGAUGAAGCAACUUCAGGACGAAAAAUGUCUGCUUAUGUUACUUUUGUUAGCAAGGAGUCUGUUGAGAAAGCAUUGGAAUUGAGAGGAAGUCAGUUUUUUUCAAGGACUAUAAAGAUGCUGAGGAAGGCUGAAUCAACCGUUGCAACACCGGGACCAGCCCAACAGCACAAAAUUUUACAGAAAUAUUUUGAAUUUUAACUACCCUUUUCUUCUCGUUUCUCUAGAGUGCCAAAUUUUUCUACAUUAUAGACACAUCAACCAUUGGAACAAGUAAUAGUUUUCUAUAUGCAAAUUAUUAAUUUUCCCUAGAA
Molecule: long non-coding RNA, 2363 nt
Organism: Carya illinoinensis
Lineage: Eukaryota; Viridiplantae; Streptophyta; Magnoliopsida; Fagales; Juglandaceae
Exons: 3
Source: RefSeq, a predicted model, not a curated record